CCUACGGGUGGCAGCAGUGAGGAAUAUUGGUCAAUGGGCGCGAGCCUGAACCAGCCAAGUCGCGUGAGGGAGGACGGCCCUACGGGUUGUAAACCUCUUUUGCCGGGGAGCAACGGGUGUCACGUGUGGCUCCACUGAGAGUACCCGGAGAAAAAGCAUCGGCUAACUCCGUGCCCGCAGCCGCGGUAAUACGGGGGAUGCGAGCGUUAUCCGGAUUUAUUGGGUUAAAUGGGGGCGUAGGCGGAUCGUUAAGUCAGUGGUAAAAUUGAGGGGCUAAACCCGUUCCCGCCAUUGAAACUGGCGCUCUUGAGUGGAAGAGAGGUAUGCAGAAUGCGUGGUGUAGCGGUGAAAUGCAUAGAUAUCACGCGGAACCCCGAUUGCGAAGGCAGCAUGCCGGCUUCCGACUGACGCUGAAGCACGAAAGCGUGGGGAUCGAACAGGAUUAGAUACCCCUGUAGUC
RNAcentral lists this ribosomal RNA (460 nucleotides) under uncultured bacterium. RNAcentral's name for it is "partial 16S ribosomal RNA". It matches the Rfam family "Bacterial small subunit ribosomal RNA", at positions 338 to 795 of the family's 1533-position model. The record is from RNAcentral.